RNAcentral lists this ribosomal RNA (492 nucleotides) under uncultured bacterium. Its description in RNAcentral is "partial 16S ribosomal RNA". It matches the Rfam family "Bacterial small subunit ribosomal RNA", at positions 29 to 507 of the family's 1533-position model. The record is from RNAcentral.
AGUGAACGCUGGCGGUAGGCCUAACACAUGCAAGUCGAACGGCAGCACAGUAAGAGCUUGCUCUUACGGGUGGCGAGUGGCGGACGGGUGAGGAAUACAUCGGAAUCUACUUUUUCGUGGGGGAUAACGUAGGGAAACUUACGCUAAUACCGCAUACGACCUACGGGUGAAAGCAGGGGAUCUUCGGACCUUGCGCGAUUGAAUGAGCCGAUGUCGGAUUAGCUGGUUGGCGGGGUAAAGGCCCACCAAGGCGACGAUCCGUAGCCGGUCUGAGAGGAUGAUCAGCCACACUGGAACUGAGACACGGUCCAGACUCCUACGGGAGGCAGCAGUGGGGAAUAUUGGACAAUGGGCGCAAGCCUGAUCCAGCCAUACCGCGUGGGUGAAGAAGGCCUUCGGGUUGUAAAGCCCUUUUGUUGGGAAAGAAAAGCAGCAGGUUAAUACCCCGCUGUUCUGACGGUACCCAAAGAAUAAGCACCGGCUAACUUCGUG